Molecule: ribosomal RNA, 447 nt
Filed under: uncultured bacterium
Lineage: Bacteria
Description: bacterial SSU rRNA
Rfam family: Bacterial small subunit ribosomal RNA
Source: RNAcentral
GACCCAGACUCCUACGGGAGGCAGCAGUGGGGAAUAUUGCACAAUGGGGGAAACCCUGAUGCAGCGACGCCGCGUGAGUGAAGAAGUAUUUCGGUAUGUAAAGCUCUAUCAGCAGGGAAGAAAAUGACGGUACCUGACUAAGAAGCCCCGGCUAACUACGUGCCAGCAGCCGCGGUAAUACGUAGGGGGCAAGCGUUAUCCGGAUUUACUGGGUGUAAAGGGAGCGUAGACGGCAUGGCAAGUCAGAUGUGAAAGCCCGGGGCUCAACCCCGGGACUGCAUUUGAAACUGUCAGGCUGGAGUGCAGGAGAGGUAAGUGGAAUUCCUAGUGUAGCGGUGAAAUGCGUAGAUAUUAGGAGGAACACCAGUGGCGAAGGCGGCCUGCUGGACGACAACUGACGGUGAGGCGCGAAAGCGUGGGGAGCAAACAGGAUUAGAUACCCGAGUA